AGCAGUCGCCGCGGUAAUACGUAGGUGGCAAGCGUUGUCCGGAAUUAUUGGGCGUAAAGGGCUCGCAGGCGGUUUCUUAAGUCUGAUGUGAAAGCCCCCGGCUCAACCGGGGAGGGUCAUUGGAAACUGGGAAACUUGAGUGCAGAAGAGGAGAGUGGAAUUCCACGUGUAGCGGUGAAAUGCGUAGAGAUGUGGAGGAACACCAGUGGCGAAGGCGACUCUCUGGUCUGUGACUGACGCUGAGGAGCGAAAGCGUGGGGAGCGAACAGGAUUAGAUACCCGCGUAGUCCCUGUCUCUUAUAC
Molecule: ribosomal RNA, 303 nt
Filed under: uncultured bacterium
Lineage: Bacteria
Description: partial 16S ribosomal RNA
Rfam family: Bacterial small subunit ribosomal RNA
Source: RNAcentral